Aquila chrysaetos chrysaetos is the source of this 2276-nucleotide RNA transcript. It is a transcript of the gene named translation initiation factor IF-2-like, with no coding region annotated. Lineage: Eukaryota; Metazoa; Chordata; Aves; Accipitriformes; Accipitridae. The record is from RefSeq and is a predicted model, not a curated record. The transcript has 6 exons.
CCCUGCCGGCGCCCGGUUUUCGCCGCGGCGGCUGGCCUCACACCGAGUAGACGCCCGGUUCGCCCGCGCUCGGCGUCCUUUCCUUCCCCGGUCAUCUGCUUGGCUUUCCCUGGCCGGUGCUCCGAUCCUUCAGGGGAACUGUCCGCCCCCCCCCCCCCCCCCCCCCCCCCCCCGCUUCGGUGUCCUUCCGCCUGUCACCAGGUCCCCGUUCCCCGGGGGAUGGCGGCGGUUACUUGUGCUGCUGCCCACCCACCCCACACCACCACUACCCCUCCCUCUCCGGGCCCCGUUCCCGACGCCGCCAGGGCCGGUCGCCCCGCUCAGCUGCCGCGCGGGGCCCGCCCGCCGUUCUCCCGCUCUGCGAGGGGACCUGCGCGCCCCGCCGCACCGGCCGGGCUGCGGGCGGGAGGCGGGAAGCCCCUCGCCUCGCCCGGCUCGGCAGCCGUUCCCCGGGGACCGCUUCCCCCGCCACCCGCGCGGGGCCGGCGGAGGCGUCCCGCCGCCACCAGGGAGCGCUCGCUCUCCCGCCCCGAACCGGCUGCCCGCAGCGGGCGGCCCCGGGGGCGCCGGGCUCCCGCGUUGCCCGUCCCGGUCGGCCGGCGAGGAACGUGGCGGCUUCGGCUCCGCGCUCGUCUCCCUGCCGGGUCACUGCAGGUUUGGGAGCCAGCAUUUCUUUGUGGAAACGUCUCAUCCUCCUCCUGGGAUCUGCUGAGUGCCUGUACGCGCUUGGGGCAGAGCAGCCGGUCCCCGGUCAAAGUAACAUCCAGUCAGACUUUGCAUGGCAUGAGGCAGAAACAGGAUUUUCUAGCAUGGAGCACUCAGGUUUUGACAUGAGCAGCAGAGGGAGAGUGUUAAGAACUUGACUGCUGUAGCUUCAUUUUGUGUUCCAGUGCGACCCACCAGAUGAAAGAGGGUAUGAUUCAGUGUAGCCUGGGUUCAGUGUGAUCCAGAAAUAGGAGUUUGGGAAAGCCACAAUUCAGAAAAUGCUUUAAGUCACUUUCAAGCUGUGAGGGAAAGAGGGCCGCAGAUGGAGCGGUGGCUGCCGUAUUGUGGAUGAGACCCUCUGGCAGGAGAAGAGACAGCAACAGCCAUCGGCCAUCAGCACUGAGAAGUGGCGUGUGGCAAGGCUGGUUUGACAUAGGCUCUGGAAGUCCCAUAUCUGGGGAGCUGAAAGGAAAAGCUCAGCACAGACAGGCGAGGGACAUCUCGGUACCAAAAUCGCCUCAACUCUGCCAGAAGGACUGGGGAUAGAACGUAUGUCAGAUGAGGAACCUGCAGCAUCUUUGGUAGAAGCCUGCAACAGUGUCUGGCGUGGCAGCAAAAGAACACGUGUUGUUUGGGGCAAAUAGGUGUUUUUUGGGAUGAUUCCAUUACUCAGAGAUGUCCGUGACAUCAGGCUGACUCUCCCAUCUGUGUUUAGUUUAUCUGCAUGAGCAUUUUGACAUGGGCAAAGGAGGAGGUGAAAAGGUGAACUUGGAUCAAAUAGCUGAGAGCAACAGUGCCAGUGCUUGACAAGUUUCAUGCUCACUUUUACCUAGUCUGGCAGAAUUAGGCAUGUAUCUUGCGGUCAGUUUGGGAACAACGUGCUUACACAGGGCCCUGUCUUAGAAAGCAGUAAAGGGAAGAGUUUUGCCGUGACUGUUGACAUGCUGGUUGGGAUGGGGUUUUGAGGAAGAACAUUUGUGAGGAUAGGUGAGGAACCCAGUCCCACUUUUCAUUUAGACCAGUACAAACCCUCUUCUGCCCUGUGAAUGUCGUCGUGCUGUGAGUGAAUAACCCUUAGUGUUGUAAAUAGGUCCUUUACACUGCUCUUGGAUUACAUAAACACUGACGAAUGAUACUUGACCCAUAUAAUGGCCAAACUGACAUAAAAAAAUUGACCACCACAGAUCAGGUGACAGGGAAUCCAUAGUGAUAACAAUGUUCAGUGGUCUCUUGCACCUGUCCUUGAGUGCUGCAAGAUUACCCUGAUUUCUUGCAAUUUCUUGUUGGGCUUUAUAUGAACCUGUGCACUAGCUGAACCCCACCUGCCUCAGAGAGUGCUCUUUGGCAUCUUUUUCAGAUGUUGUUCUUGCACCACACCUACCACGUAAAUGAGAGCUAGUUUUCUACAGACAAAUGGCGCAAUACCUUCUAUUCCUACCGUGACUAGUGAUUUAUGUGGAAGGAAGCCAUCGUUCUGCUCCAAUAAAUUCUACAAGAGCUAAAUACUAAUAUAUACUAAGGAUUCAUGUGGUGUUACGGUAACCUCUGGAGAUAAAAUUAAGCAUCCUUAA